AAUGUUGGACAAUGGGGGAAACCCUGAUCCAGCCAUCCCGCGUGUAUGAUGAAGGCCUUCGUUUUAUAAAGUACUUUUGGCAGAGAUGAGAAGGUAUCUCCUAAUACGAGAUACUGCUGACGGUAUCUGCAGAAUAAGCUCCGGCUAACUACGUGCCAGCAGCCGCGGUAAUACGUAGGGUGCAAGCGUUAAUCGGAAUUACUGGGUGUAAAGCGUGUGUAGGCGGUUCGGAAAGAAAGAUGUGAAAUCCCAGGGCUCAACCCUGGAACUGCAUUUUUAACUGCCGAGCUAGAGUAUGUCAGAGGGGGGUAGAAUACCACGUGUAGCAGUGAAAUGCGUAGAUAUGUGGAGGAAUACCGAUGGCGAAGGCAGCCCCCUGGGAUAAUACUGACGCUCAGACGCGAAAGCGUGGGGAGCAAACAGG
This 424-nucleotide ribosomal RNA is filed under the name uncultured bacterium. Its description in RNAcentral is "partial 16S ribosomal RNA". It matches the Rfam family "Bacterial small subunit ribosomal RNA", at positions 360 to 776 of the family's 1533-position model. The record is from RNAcentral.